This 28-nucleotide small RNA is filed under the name Bombyx mori (domestic silkworm). RNAcentral's name for it is "ovarian small RNA-28948". Lineage: Eukaryota; Metazoa; Arthropoda; Insecta; Lepidoptera; Bombycidae. The record is from RNAcentral.
UCGGAUUUGUUUAGGGUUCGUGAUGCAU